This 498-nucleotide ribosomal RNA is filed under the name uncultured bacterium. RNAcentral's name for it is "partial 16S ribosomal RNA". It matches the Rfam family "Bacterial small subunit ribosomal RNA", at positions 30 to 523 of the family's 1533-position model. The record is from RNAcentral.
AUUGAACGCUGGCGGCAUGCCUUACACAUGCAAGUCGAACGGUAACAGGUCUUCGGAUGCUGACGAGUGGCGAACGGGUGAGUAAUACAUCGGAACGUGCCUAGUAGUGGGGGAUAACUACUCGAAAGAGUGGCUAAUACCGCAUGAGAUCUACGGAUGAAAGCAGGGGAUCGCAAGACCUUGUGCUACUAGAGCGGCCGAUGGCAAAUUAGGUAGUUGGUGGGAUAAAAGAUUACCAAGCCGACGAUCUGUAGCUGGUCUGAGAGGACGAUCAGCCACACUGGGACUGAGAAACGGCCCAGACUCCUACGGGAGGCAGCAGUGGGAAAUUUUGGACAGUGGGCGCAAGCCUGAUCCAGCAAUGCCGCGUGCAGGAUGAAGGCCUUCGGGUUGUAAACUGCUUUUGUACGGAACGAAAAGCCCCGGGUUAAUACCCUGGGGUCAUGACGGUACCGUAAGAAUAAGCACCGGCUAACUACGUGCCAGCAGCCGCGGUAA